RNAcentral lists this ribosomal RNA (491 nucleotides) under uncultured bacterium. RNAcentral describes it as "bacterial SSU rRNA". It matches the Rfam family "Bacterial small subunit ribosomal RNA", at positions 19 to 518 of the family's 1533-position model. The record is from RNAcentral.
CUGGCUCAGGACGAACGCUGGCGGCGUGCUUAACACAUGCAAGUCGAACGGAACGCAACUGGGUUUACUCGGGAGCGUUUAGUGGCGGACGGGUGAGUAACGCGUGAGCAACCUGCCCAUAAGAGGGGGACAACAGCUGGAAACGGCUGCUAAUACCGCAUAAGACCACAGCGUCACAUGACGAAGGGGUCAAAGAUUUAUCGCUUAUGGAUGGGCUCGCGUCCCAUUAGCUAGUUGGUGAGGUAACGGCCCACCAAGGCGACGAUGGGUAGCCGACCUGAGAGGGUGAUCGGCCACACUGGAACUGAGAUACGGUCCAGACUCCUACGGGAGGCAGCAGUGGGGAAUAUUGGGCAAUGGGCGAAAAAGCCUGACCCAGCAACGCCGCGUGAGGGAAGAAGGUCUUCGGAUUGUAAACCUCUGUCCUUAGGGACGAAGAAAGUGACGGUACCUAAGGAGGAAGCCCCGGCUAACUACGUGCCAGCCGCAGC